AAAUCACCAACCUUCCAGUUGGUAAAUAACCUGCUCCAAGACAUCCCAACUGCAGGUCAGAAUAUACUUGAUGCUGCAGCCUGCUGAGCCAGCCUACUUCAUACAGGAUAGAGGGGUGUAGCUGUAGGAACCCCAGAGUGCACCAAGACGCUCCAGUCCUCCAGGUGGAAAGAGUAGUGGAAUAUCUGGUGAACCUGAGCCUGCUGCUCAACCACAGAGACCCAUACCUCCAGGUGGACCAACCACCAACAUAUUUGGGCCUGCAGUCACUGCACCUGCACAAAGUCCAAGCUGAAGCCCCCCAAAUAAGCCAAAGUCUGACAGCAGUGGGGAGGAAAGACCUGCGAAAGACCUGGAAAGACCCACAUCGUGGGUGCUGCAGCCUGCCACUGAAGGAGCUGCUCAGUGGGAGAUGUUGUCCAACAGGGAUGACAGCUUAGCCACCAUUCUCCUGUCACUCACCACCUCCACUGGGUCCAGAGGGUAUCCUAGAACAGAGCUAUUGUAGAUGUCUGUGAUUACUAAUCAGCAAAGGACAAUCUAAGUGUGGGACCUGACCCUGAAUCACCAGCUCACAGCCAGAGAGAGAGAGAGCUUAAUUUUAGAUGUCAAAAAGUAUGACGUCACAACAUUCUGAUUGGUCACUUGCAAUGUUGAUCCUGGAACAACAUUUAAUAUGGUGAUCUGGGAACAACACCAACACGACGGUAUCAGAUCGCCGGCAGCCAGCUGUGCCAGAGUGACCGAGCCCCAGGCCGAGGGCACCCCACCCCCGAAGUGGCCGAGCGAGCCCCAGGCUCCAGGCCCCAACAAGCCUAUUUAAUCAUGUCUUAAUUUUCCUGUUUCUAUUGUAAAGCACUUUGGUGUACCGCUGGUUCUUUAAAUCUGUUAUAUAAAUAAAGUUGUAUUGUAUUGUAUAGUCUCAAUAAAUUGGCCUCCAUCUCUGCAUUUUUUUUUUACAUUUAUUAGUUUCACUUAGAAUCAGAAUGCGAAUACUUUAUUGAUCCCUUUGGAGAAAUUAUUUUGGUUACAGUGCUCCAGUACAAACAGUAACAAAGACAGAACAAUACACUAAGUAAGAAAUAGCACAAUAUAUAUAUACAC
Molecule: long non-coding RNA, 1104 nt
Organism: Astatotilapia calliptera (eastern happy)
Lineage: Eukaryota; Metazoa; Chordata; Actinopteri; Cichliformes; Cichlidae
Source: Ensembl